GACGAACGCUGGCGGCGUGCUUAACACAUGCAAGUCGAACGGAAAGGCCCUGCUUUUGCGGGGUGCUCGAGUGGCGAACGGGUGAGUAACACGUGAGUAACCUGCCCUUGACUUUGGGAUAACUCUAGGAAACUGGGGCUAAUACCGGAUAGGAGCUCCUGCUGCAUGGUGGGGGUUGGAAAGUUUCGGCGGUUGGGGCUGGACUCGCGGCUUAUCAGCUUGUUGGUGGGGUAGUGGCUUACCAAGGCUUUGACGGGUAGCCGGCCUGAGAGGGUGACCGGCCACAUUGGGACUGAGAGACGGCCCAGACUCCUACGGGAGGCAGCAGUGGGGAAUAUUGCACAAUGGGCGGAAGCCUGAUGCAGCAACGCCGCGUGCGGGAUGACGGCCUUCGGGUUGUAAACCGCUUUCGCCUGUGACGAAGCGUGAGUGACGGUAAUGGGUAAGGAAGCACCGGCUAACUACGUG
RNAcentral lists this ribosomal RNA (468 nucleotides) under uncultured bacterium. Its description in RNAcentral is "partial 16S ribosomal RNA". It matches the Rfam family "Bacterial small subunit ribosomal RNA", at positions 28 to 507 of the family's 1533-position model. The record is from RNAcentral.